Molecule: ribosomal RNA, 465 nt
Filed under: uncultured soil bacterium
Lineage: Bacteria
Description: bacterial SSU rRNA
Rfam family: Bacterial small subunit ribosomal RNA
Source: RNAcentral
CAGUCGAACGGCAGCGCGGGGCAACCUGGCGGCGAGUGGCGAACGGGUGAGUAAUAUAUCGGAACGUACCCUGGAGUGGGGGAUAACGUAGCGAAAGUUACGCUAAUACCGCAUACGAUCUAAGGAUGAAAGUGGGGGAUGCGCAAGCACCUCAUGCUCCUGGAGCGGCCGAUAUCUGAUUAGCUAGUUGGUGGGGUAAAGGCCCACCAAGGCAUCGAUCAGUAGCUGGUCUGAGAGGACGACCAGCCACACUGGAACUGAGACACGGUCCAGACUCCUACGGGAGGCAGCAGUGGGGAAUUUUGGACAAUGGGCGCAAGCCUGAUCCAGCAAUGCCGCGUGGGUGAAGAAGGCCUUCGGGUUGUAAAGCUCUUUUGUCAGGGAAGAAACGGGUCUUCCUAAUACAGAGAUCUAAUGACGGUACCUGAAGAAUAAGCACCGGCUAACUACGUGCCAGCAGCCGCG